UACGUAGGGGGCAAGCGUUGUCCGGAAUCAUUGGGCGUAAAGAGCGUGUAGGCGGCUCGGUAAGUCCGCUGUGAAAGUCCAGGGCUCAACCCUGGAAUGCCGGUGGAAACUGUCGAGCUAGAGUCCGGAAGAGGCGAGUGGAAUUCCUGGUGUAGCGGUGAAAUGCGCAGAUAUCAAGUGGAACACCAGUGGCGAAGGCGAGUCCCUGGAAAACUCCUGACACUGAGGCACGAAAGCUAGGGGAGCAAACAGG
Molecule: ribosomal RNA, 253 nt
Filed under: uncultured bacterium
Lineage: Bacteria
Description: partial 16S ribosomal RNA
Rfam family: Bacterial small subunit ribosomal RNA
Source: RNAcentral